Molecule: long non-coding RNA, 1064 nt
Filed under: Malus domestica (apple)
Lineage: Eukaryota; Viridiplantae; Streptophyta; Magnoliopsida; Rosales; Rosaceae
Description: long non-coding RNA (MDOM_LNC010634)
Source: RNAcentral
CCUACACUUUUUUUCUAACCGAACGCCAUAAUUCACCAUGAGAAGUAAACCUUUCCCAUUUAUCAUUAUAGCCAAGUGUUUAUUUUGUAAUAUAGGCGCAUAAUAUACCAAAUUACAUGGGGGCUCCUUUCUAAAUUAUUCCUCAUUUGCUAUUGACCUUAAAUCCAUUAUCCAUACACAUUUUCUGCAGCUCAUCAACAAAUAAUCCAUUACCUCACUGCAAUCCAAUGAUCUCACAAAACCCUAGUCCACUAUAUUUUACAAGUGAUACCAAAUCCUAUCAUAGUCAAUGAAUUUAUGUUGAAUAUAAGUCUCACAUCGGAUAAAUGAGAAAAGUUCAAUAUAUAAAGUGUGUAGUUUCAUUUUUAUUAACAUCGGAAUCUUUUGUGAUAAAAAUCAACACCUGACAAUUAAGUGAUUAAGUUAAAACAAUAUUAAUGAGGUUAUAAGUAGACCAAUGACCCAUCUCUUUAAAUAUCUAACAUAUUAGACAGCAACUCUAAGGCAAAAUUAGUAAGUAAAAGAAUGGGACUAAAGAGAAUCCACGUUUCAGGUUGGAAAGCUAGCUGAGUACAAGAUGGAAAAUAAAAUAAAUUUUUUUUCUCCCAAAAGGCAUCAUAUUUUAUUAAAUACAAAUUGAGACACUUAUAUCCUCUCUAAAACAAGGACCAAUGCAAUGCCAAGAAUAAGUGCCACCAUCCUUAAAAAUAAGAGACAGCACGGAGUGUGCUGCUCGAUUACCUUCUUUUAGGAUGGUUAAAAUUGAAUAUCGCAUGUGUUUUAUUUCAGUUUUUUAGCCAAAAUAGUUCAUAAGAUUUGCAUAACACAUCACUUUGCUUCUUGAAAUUUGAAAUCAAUAGAAGUGGUCGCUGAGAUUGUCCACUGUGGAGCCAAAAAUAUUCACAAGGCGACACGUGGAUUUUUGGACAAAAAGGACAAAAAUACCCUUGCAGUACAACGAGGUUCCUACGCGCAAGCAGCGGGCAACCCUCUUUCAACCAAGACAGAAGUGCCCAAAAUAGGUAACAAUUCAAAGUCCAUCUCAUCAAAUCCUAUCUACAAGG